UUGCAGUUAAAAAGCUCGUAGUUGGAUUUCUGGUCGAGUGUCCCUAGGCCGACUUGACGUUUGGUCCUAGGGGCUCUGCCAUCCUUCUGUUAACUCUCGCCUCGUUCGUUCGUGGCGUUAGGGCUCAGAUAUUUUACCUUGAGAAAAUUAGAGUGUUUCAGGCAGGCUUUCGCCGGAAUACAUUAGCAUGGAAUAAUGGAAAAGGACUUCAACCUCUUCUGUUGGUCUGAGAGGAUGUAGUAAUGAUUAAUAGGGAUAGUUGGGGGCAUUAGUACUUAACUGUCAGAGGUGAAAUUCUCCGAUUUGUUAAAGACUAACUUAUGCGAAAGCAUUUGCCAAGGAUGUUUUCAUUAAUCAAGAACGAAAGUUAGGGGAUCCAAAGACGAUCAGAUACCCGUCCUAGUCUUAACCAUANACUAUGCCGACUCGGGAUCGGGGG
RNAcentral lists this ribosomal RNA (439 nucleotides) under uncultured eukaryote. RNAcentral's name for it is "SSU rRNA". It matches the Rfam family "Eukaryotic small subunit ribosomal RNA", at positions 613 to 1059 of the family's 1831-position model. The record is from RNAcentral.